ACAUUAUCUCUCAUUAGAAUAAAGAAAAUCAUCCAAUUGGCUAGCUCGAAAAGGCGUAAGACUUCACUAUCACGUAACGUAAUUCUGCCUGGGGGAUUUCGUCUGCCGAACUUGCAGACGAAAGUUAGCUACUUUGAUCCUAGAAAAUAGUUGCAAGAAGCCAUUGGGAACCAUAAAUGAUAUUGCUUACCGACGAAGCGGUAUUAUUUUUGUUUCAGCUCUGUCAAGAUAUUAAUGUAGAAAUGAAUGACGAUUAAUUUAUUUUCAAGUACAUAGCUGUGAUAAAAUUUAUCAAAUCAAAAAUGAAUCUUAUGCAGGAAACGGUGUACCAUGCUCACUGUGAAACAUGUAUUAAGAUAUCAAAGUGCACCAAGAGGGUUGUUGAAGGUAAAUCCUGUCCAAUUAUUAGUUGCCAAAGAAAAUGUGGUUCUUCAUUCCACGGAUGUAAGACCAAUGAACACAACCUUCUGUGCCCAAAUAUGCAAGAACCCUGUAUCAAUGUGAGUUAUGGAUGCCCCCAUAUUGUACUCAGAAAACACCGUGGAAGCCAUCUUGAAUCCUGCCCUGCAAGUUGUGUGCCAUGUAAUGCAGAAUGGAACCGUUGGCCAUUAUGCACCAAGGAAAGGCAAAUUCACAUUCCCUUUGCUCAGAUUAAUCCACAGCUUCGAGAAGAACAGCUUGAUGUGGCAUUGGCUCUUCGAGACCAAGGAGUUUUAGAUCACUGGAUGCAUCUUCCUAGAAAAACCCAGAAGCUUAUGCGAUGUAACCUCACUCCUAGAUAUCCUGCAAUUCCUCUCAUCUUAAGUUUGUGGGAACCUACUGUUAAAAUGAAAGUAAAAUCCAUUUCCUCGGACGAUGGUCUUUCCAAUGUGAGUACUCCAAGACAAUCGGCCGAACGAAGCGAUAAUAGUAUUUUAAGUGUUUCAAGUACGGAUGAUGAAUCUCCUUGGGGUCGUCGUCGGAAACCUCCAGGAUUACUUCAGAGCAUGUGUACCCAGCUUUUUAAUAAAAGCACUGCACAGAAGCAGCAACAAGCAGUUUUGGUCACAAAUCAAGAUGAUAAUUGUUGUCCCUUGAAAAAUCAAGUGGUCGACGAAGACACGCUAAGCGACAUAAGUAACGGCUUGGAUGACGAUGGUAGCACCAAUGAAAUUUUGGACGCCCCUUUUGGAGGUUCCGGAAACUUUGGACCUUUGCCUUCGAAUCCGCCGGAAUUACCAUUACUCACUACUCUUGGUCUUGAUUUGUCUAUCGAGUGCAUACCACGCUAUCAGAGUAAACCUAAAUCGAUGUAUACGUUUGUCUGUGCUCAAGAUUUUCGAAGAGAUGAAUUUGCCUCGCAUUAUCUUAAUUGGCAUAGUGAAAUCCAUGGUGGUUUAGAUGGCUGGAUCGAACAACGUUGUCCUUUAGCGCGAUAUGGGUGCUCGUUUGCAAGACGACGUAUGUUUCCACUUAGCCCAGACCAUCGAAUCAUUUACAGCUCAAUCAUUGAGAGUUUUGGAGUUACGAGAACUCCGCAAGAUCCCGCUGGCAAGCCUGACGAACUUAACUUGACAGAUCUUCCCUUUGAGGUUCUUAGAGCAGUAGCCAGUUUUUUGGAUGGUUUCAGCUUGUGUCAUCUAUCGGUCACUUGCCAUCUUCUCCGUGAGGUGGCUCGCUCUCUUCUUUAUAACAGGGGUCUCGUUGCUGCUCAUUGGCAAAAGAGUCAGCAAGGAUGGAUUAUAACGCAUUAUCGAUGGUCUUUUAGCACUUCUUUCAGUCCCGUGGAACGAUGGGGAUUUGAGAGCAGUUCACAUAUCAGCAAUCAUCUGCGAGAGUGUCGCUACAACAUUAAGUCGUCAUAUGUCUUUCCGAAACGUGUUGCCUUACCUGGAUUUAUGGAAACUUUCGCUAGUGAGGCAACGGAAGGGAAGUGUCAGGACUUUUAAAACACGCUUGGUUAUGUACUCGGCAGCUGGAAUGUUUUCAGGCGCAUCAGUAACGACGGUAUCUUUUUUCAACUGCUCCACUUUCUGUUGCUCGCGAUGUGGGCCACGGUACACAUAUGGCGAAGAAGAUUUGGCAUAAGGAAGGGUUCCCUCGUUUGAUGUCUUCUGUUUGAGUUCCUUUAGGUUGGAGGUAACAACUGCUUGGAGUUGGCUAUUUUUUUCUUUUACGGAAAUCAGCUCAACGUUGGUAUCCCUUUCCGUACCUAGAUGUAAAGAAAGUGCUGUUAUAACCUCUGGAUUGUAUCUAAUAGUCUAUUUAAUAUAAUGAUAAUUUGAUGAAGUACUUUCUGGUGUGCUAGCUUGAGCAGUUGAAAGGCCAGAUAAAAGCUUGCCAGAGACCCCAUCAUUGACAGCAGUGGUAUGCUGGAAGUUUCGUUUGAUUUCUUCCAAUUUAAUUAUUUGAUUAUCGGAAAAUUUGUAAGCAUUCGUGAUAACAUCCGCUUGAUUUUUUUCUGCAUUCCCAACGCCAGGUGGACUAGCAUUUCCUGUUAUCGUAGGAUCACCGGAGAAAGAGUCGUCUAUUCUAGGUGAUAUACUGUUGACGUCUGUAUUAGGCUGAGACGAAAAUAAAGAAGCAUCUCUCAAUGUAGCUUGAGUGGGUAAAUCAAAUUUGAUACUGGUCUCGACAGGACUGAUGUUGAAUAGAUCCUUGGUUCCAUCACCUACGCCUGUACAGUCGGAUACAUAAUGAAAGUCCAUUUUGCAGUAGCUUUGUUUCCCUGCUUGUUGCAGUUUUCUGUGCAGUCACAGUGUCAAGUGGUUCAGUCCAACUUCUCAAUUCCAUGCAGAGCUUCAGAAAAGUUUAUUUUACAGGUAUUCUGUGUCUUGUGUUUACUUUUCUUGUUUCGUCAUAAGUGUUCGCAAGUGAUUUGUGAUUUUGAAAAUUUACAGACUUAAUCCGUGUUGAUCCAAAGUCGUUUGUGUCGUGUACCAAUGUAAGUGAAUGACUAUCUACCAGUGCUAGUGCCUCCGCCGAAAGGUUCCGUAGAUCCACUAAGCGAUGGGUCAAAUGGAGCAUGACCUACGUUCGGAAUAACAACUCCAAAACGUGCUGCAAUCGGAUCGAUUUCUAUCAAACUGGAAGAGGACGAUUUUUGGUCAUUGCUCGAAUGGGACCCAAAAUCACCGAACGCCGAGAAAUCUGAGAUGAAUGUUGAAUGGCUUCCUCCUCGACCACUUCCGCCUGCUCUUAAACUAUACCUGUACCAAGUAGUAAAUCGGAAGGUUUGGCUGCUGCGCUUGUUCCAACACCCCCAAAACUAUCGGUAUAUGCAUCUCCCCUGUUCUGUCCAAAAUAGUUUUCGGAGGCUGAAAACUGAUUAAAUCCUGGAGGAACAGCCACCCCAUAAAUUGCUGCAGCCAAACUGUCUGCCUGGGGCCCUGAUCCAUCCGUGUUUGGAUAGACGAGACCGCCAGUUUUUUUUUCGUGAAAAUUCAAUAAGAAUUACUUGUGAAUUUGCUGAUUUGAUGAUUAGUAGGAAUGAUGUAACUGCUACAAGAAACGCAGAGUGCAUUGUAGGUACUGCCAUCAUCAAAAUAAGUCCCCUCAGAGAAACUAAAAUUGCGAUCACAACUUAUCGUUUGCCGUAGCUUACUAAACCACAAAGAAAGUCAAUUGCCACUUUUUAUCAGUUUUUUUUAUAAUGCAGAGUUUGAAAAAGUUUUAACUAGUAAUAUUUUCGCCUUACUACUUUUAAUGUCGCACAAACCAUAACCGUUACGGUACAUUCAGUUAUGCUCUAUUUUAGGACAAAAGAAAGAGAGAUGGAGUUCCUCAAGUAGCUGAUGGAAGUUCAUAGAAGAAAACAGGAAGUGGGGCGAUUUCCAAUCGACGCUUUUUCACGCUGGCUUUUCCCUUAAUGAGAAGACGAGCACAUCAUUCGACGACAUGGAUUUAAACUGCAACACCAAUUUCUCUUCUUGGAAACGAGACAACAGAACUGACAGACGAAAAAAGUUUUAUUGUCGAAGAAAAAUAUUUUUUAGAAGACAGUACCACAAGCAAAGUCACAGAAGACUUCAGGUAAUGAAACACUAGAGUCGUUCAUCGUGCUUAAAUGAAGAUAGAUCUGCAUGGUUAUUUGCAAACAAAUCGAGCAAUCAAGUUUACAGACUGAAACAAGUGAAACAUACCGUCAUAAAUAAAUCGAGCUAAUAUUUGCACUAAAGAGAAAGUGCAGGUGGCAGGAUCGGGAUAUAGAAUUGAAUGAACUAAAAACACUAAUUGGUCGCUGCA
RNA transcript from Daphnia carinata, 4224 nucleotides. It is a transcript of the gene named F-box only protein 30-like, with no coding region annotated. The record is from RefSeq and is a predicted model, not a curated record. Lineage: Eukaryota; Metazoa; Arthropoda; Branchiopoda; Diplostraca; Daphniidae. The transcript is spliced from 12 exons.